RNAcentral lists this ribosomal RNA (376 nucleotides) under uncultured Serratia sp. Its description in RNAcentral is "bacterial SSU rRNA". It matches the Rfam family "Bacterial small subunit ribosomal RNA", at positions 521 to 896 of the family's 1533-position model. The record is from RNAcentral. Lineage: Bacteria; Pseudomonadati; Pseudomonadota; Gammaproteobacteria; Enterobacterales; Yersiniaceae.
UAAUACGGAGGGUGCAAGCGUUAAUCGGAAUUACUGGGCGUAAAGCGCACGCAGGCGGUUUGUUAAGUCAGAUGUGAAAUCCCCGGGCUCAACCUGGGAACUGCAUUUGAAACUGGCAAGCUAGAGUCUCGUAGAGGGGGGUAGAAUUCCAGGUGUAGCGGUGAAAUGCGUAGAGAUCUGGAGGAAUACCGGUGGCGAAGGCGGCCCCCUGGACGAAGACUGACGCUCAGGUGCGAAAGCGUGGGGAGCAAACAGGAUUAGAUACCCUGGUAGUCCACGCUGUAAACGAUGUCGAUUUGGAGGUUGUGCCCUUGAGGCGUGGCUUCCGGAGCUAACGCGUUAAAUCGACCGUCUGGGGAGUACGGCCGCAAGGUUA